ACCUGCGUAGCUCAGUGGUUGAGCAUCUGCCUUUGGCUCAGGUUGUGGUCCCAGGGUCCUGGGAUCAAGUCCCAGAUCAGGUU
RNAcentral lists this transfer RNA (83 nucleotides) under Canis lupus familiaris (dog). It matches the Rfam family "tRNA". From Rfam's summary of the family: Transfer RNA (tRNA) molecules are approximately 80 nucleotides in length. Their secondary structure includes four short double-helical elements and three loops (D, anti-codon, and T loops). Further hydrogen bonds mediate the characteristic L-shaped molecular structure. tRNAs have two regions of fundamental functional importance: the anti-codon, which is responsible for specific mRNA codon recognition, and the 3' end, to which the tRNAs corresponding amino acid is attached (by aminoacyl-tRNA synthetases). tRNAs cope with the degeneracy of the genetic code in two manners: having more than one tRNA (with a specific anti-codon) for a particular amino acid; and 'wobble' base-pairing, i.e. permitting non-standard base-pairing at the 3rd anti-codon position. The record is from Rfam by way of RNAcentral. Lineage: Eukaryota; Metazoa; Chordata; Mammalia; Carnivora; Canidae. RNAcentral also lists the same sequence under 2 other names.